Molecule: small nuclear RNA, 324 nt
Filed under: Chinchilla lanigera (long-tailed chinchilla)
Lineage: Eukaryota; Metazoa; Chordata; Mammalia; Rodentia; Chinchillidae
Description: 7SK RNA (ENSCLAG00000021539.1)
Rfam family: 7SK RNA
About the family: 7SK was discovered as an abundant small nuclear RNA in the mid-70s but a possible function has only recently been suggested. Two independent studies have found that 7SK RNA binds the CDK9/cyclin T complex (known as elongation factor P-TEFb).
Source: RNAcentral
GGAUGUGAGAGUGAUCUGGCUGUGACACCUAUCACCCCAUUGAUCACCAGGGUUGAUUCAGCUGAUCUGGCUGGAUAGGUGGGUAUUCUCUUCCUCCCUCACUGCUCCGUGUGUGUCCCUCCCAAAGCUGGGAGCUCAGCCAGAGGGGACGACCACCAGGAUAGAGUAAAACCAUUUUCCAGGUCAAGAGAAUAUGAGUAGCUGCACUCCCCUGCUAGAACCUCGAAACAAGCUCUCAAAAAUACAUUCAGCAUCAAAAUCAAAGGAUGGAAAAUAAUACUUCAGUUAAAACGAACCCAGAAAAAAAUGAACAAUUUCUAAUAU